Molecule: ribosomal RNA, 495 nt
Filed under: uncultured bacterium
Lineage: Bacteria
Description: partial 16S ribosomal RNA
Rfam family: Bacterial small subunit ribosomal RNA
Source: RNAcentral
GACGAACGCUGGCGGCGUGCCUAAUACAUGCAAGUAGAACGCUGAAGGAGGAGCUUGCUUCUCUGGAUGAGUUGCGAACGGGUGAGUAACGCGUAGGUAACCUGCCCGGUAGCGGGGGAUAACUAUUGGAAACGAUAGCUAAUACCGCAUAAGAGUAGAUGUUGCAUGACAUUCGCUUAAAAGGUGCAAUUGCAUCACUACCAGAAGGACCUGCGUUGUAUUAGCUAGUUGGUGGGGUAACGGCUUACCAAGGCGACGAUACAGAGUCGACCUGAGAGGGGGGUCUGCCACACUGGGACUGAGACACGGCCCAGACUCCUACGGGGGGCAGCAGUAGGGGAUCUUCGGCAAUAGGCGGAAGUCUGACCGAGCAACGCCGCGUGAGUGAAGAAAGUUCUCGGGUCGUAAAGCUCUGUUGUAAGGGGAGAACGAGUGUGAGAGUGGAAAGUUCACACUGUGACGGUAUCUUACCAGAAAGGGACGGCUAACUACGUG